UACGAAGGGGGCUAGCGUUGUUCGGAAUUACUGGGCGUAAAGCGCACGUAGGCGGAUAUUUAAGUCAGGGGUGAAAUCCCAGAGCUCAACUCUGGAACUGCCUUUGAUACUGGGUAUCUUGAGUAUGGGAAGAGGUAAGUGGAAUUGCGAGUGUAGAGGGUGAAAUUCGUAGAUAUUCGCAGGAACACCAGUGGCGAAGGCGGCUUACUGGUCCA
Molecule: ribosomal RNA, 215 nt
Filed under: uncultured bacterium
Lineage: Bacteria
Description: partial 16S ribosomal RNA
Rfam family: Bacterial small subunit ribosomal RNA
Source: RNAcentral